Carica papaya (papaya) is the source of this 1620-nucleotide non-coding RNA. Lineage: Eukaryota; Viridiplantae; Streptophyta; Magnoliopsida; Brassicales; Caricaceae. The record is from RefSeq and is a predicted model, not a curated record.
UCUUUACCAACAUUUGCCCUCUUUUCUCCUUUCUCCUGCAAUGACGGAGAAGAGAGCGGAGGUGCUGUGAUGCAAUGAAAAGGGAAAAGGUUAGAUGGCUUGCGGCUAGGUCAAUUUUGGUUGGACCUCCAAAGAUCGAGGAAGAGAGAUAAUGUUGUUUCCUUUUAAGGAUUGCAUGAAGUAGGAGCGUGGACAGAGUUCCGAGAAUGACUCAGAUGGAUAGCUAAUUGUUUUAUUUGUUGAAGAAGAUGUACGGAAGGAGAUUCUGGAGAUGGCGAUUAAGGUUUUCGUCUUUCUCAUGACCCUUCCUCUCCUAGUGCAGGUAAGCAUUUUCUUUGCUUAUUUUUCUUACAUUUUUGCCAGUUUCUCGUCUAGAUUUAGGGCUAGAAACUUUACAUGGUAUUAGAGCAAUGAAGAAUGAGAACUUUGUUUCAAAUGCAACCCAACAGCCAGAUUUUUUUAGCAGAGGGGUCCGGGACCCUUUACACCCUAGUAGCCCUUGUUACAUGGGAACUAAUGAAAGCUCCGGUGCUCUAUUAUAACACAGUUGUUGGAUUCUAUGAACUACCAUUCUUGGGCUAGAUUUAUGAAGCGUGCCCUUAGAAUAAAAAAACAAAUUAGUGUUUACUGAUGGAAGUAUUAGAGAAUCUGUAGAUCCAAACAGCCCACUCAUGGACACUGGCUGCAUUGUAAUGAUAUCGUAAUAACAACGUGGAUACAAAUAACAGUGUCUGUUUGACAUUAAAUGAAGUACCUUUUGUGUUGAAUCUGCUUUUCAACUUUGAAAUGUACUUGAAUAAAGACAUACUCAAAGUAAUUGCCCUAGAAUUCAUGAAGUGAAACGAUCAAUGGCUAAUCUAGUAUAGGAGAAUGGCACUUUUGAGGUUUAUUUUUUGAAGCUUAGAGCUCCCUUUGAUGAACACCGGCGAGGAGAUUAGGUGAUGAAGUUUCUGAUGAGACUGAACGAAAUAUAUAAAGACAUUAAGGCACAUGUUUGUUGAUAAAAUCCUUUCCGAGCUUAAAUGAGGUGUACUAAAUUGUAUAACAGGAAGAAAAUGAAAGGAAAUAUCGACGGAUGUUGCACCAAACAGGCUCUAGCCUUUAGCAUUAAGGAGCCAAACAAAAACACUGGAGUUACUGUUGCUAUUGGAGAGAAGUAUUACUGCUCACACUGUGAGGUAGUAGGCCAUUCUGUGGAGAGGUGCUUCAAGGCCAAUUCAAACAAACCGGUCAUAGCACACUGUGAGAUGUCUGGACAAAAUGUGGAGGAAUGCUAGAAACUUCAUGGAUACCCUAAAGGAAACAAGCUGCAUUGCGUGGGAAGGCAAAAUGUUAAUUGUUAACCAGGUCUCCACUUCACCCAUGGUUGAGGAAAAUGGAUUGGGAGACCACAACAUGAUCGCUCAAAAACAGUAUGCACAAUUGAUGAUACUGCUUUAGCGAAAUAAUGCUUCUGCUUACAUGGUUCUAACACAACCUUCAGUUUGCCCAGACAGCAACACCCUGGGAUUCUCUAGUAUGCCCCUUUGUCUCGGAUCAGAUUUGGUUGUGUGUUUUCCCAACAUUCGGUAUGUAAGAAUGACAUCGAUAAAUAUCAUAAUAACUAUGCUUCGAUACCAA